CCGCCCCAGCCUGGAGCUCUGCACUGUAGCCACUGGACUCCCCACAUGGUCGCCAGAUGCCACUGCAGCAGGAUUCCUGUUACCCCAGCAAGAUGAAAAUGCUCACCACAGGAUGCCUCUGUGUCCUCAGCCCCGCUUCCCGACUCCACUGGUGCCACCGCCACAGUCCAGCAACCAAACUCUCAAACCCCAGCUGGACUAUGGUGCUGCCCACCAAGGGUCCAAGGUCAAUGCCCUUCACCCCCCGCCAUGAUGCCUGACUCCAGUGCCCCAUGCCGGCUCCUAGAUGAAGCUGCAUGUUGCUGCCGCCACCACCAGACUCCAUCAUGGACGCAAGACAGCGAUACUCAGCACUGGAUGCCCACUUCACCUACUGCAGCCAGACUCCUGUGGCACUGCAGGACAGAAAUGAUCCUGGCAACAUCCCCUCUGUUGUCACCACAGCUGCUUCUGGACUCUUCUGCUGCCACCGCCACUGUGAGUAUGCAGCAAGGGAUCUCCCAAACUGAAGCUGGAUGCCAACACCUCAGCUGUUGCCACCCCACGCCAACUCUCAACUCUCGACCUCCCUCACAUGAUGCCCUAUGCCUGAAGCAGCUACAUGUUGCUGGUGUUGCCACCAGAUGCUAUCACUCCAUGAUGCCUCUCCAGCGACUCCAUCCCAAAGAUGCUGCUGUGCUGCCCAAGACCACAGAAGCUGGGAAGUUGGGCAGUCUCCAUCCUAGUCACCUCAUCAGUGCCCACUGCUUGCUGCCUGCCUUUCCUCCCCCAGGACCACCCACCAGUCCUUCUGGGCCCUUGAGCAAGAGUUGUGCUAACUCAGGGAAUUCAUCCAAGGAAAACAACUGACCAUCAGGCAGAAGGAAACACCAGAGAAGCUUGAGGAUCAGAAGGACACCAGCCCUGCUCUGGUCACUCUGGAAGCUG
RNAcentral lists this long non-coding RNA (927 nucleotides) under Ictidomys tridecemlineatus (thirteen-lined ground squirrel). RNAcentral describes it as "lncRNA (ENSSTOG00000032581.1)". Lineage: Eukaryota; Metazoa; Chordata; Mammalia; Rodentia; Sciuridae. The record is from RNAcentral.